GGUUCUGUAUUCAAUAAUGAUUUUAAAUUGCAAAUUUAAAGGUGAGUAUAAUUCCGGAACCU
This 62-nucleotide transfer RNA is filed under the name Layahima wuzhishana. RNAcentral describes it as "tRNA-Cys". Lineage: Eukaryota; Metazoa; Arthropoda; Insecta; Neuroptera; Myrmeleontidae. The record is from RNAcentral.